CGUCUAUAUACGUAUAGCAUAUCAAUAAGCGGAGGAAAAGAAACUAACUAGGAUUCCCUUAGUAACGGCGAGUGAAGCGGGAAGAGCUCAAAUUUGAAAUCUUCAAGGUUCUACCUUGACGAAUUGUAGUUUAAAGAAGUGUUUUCUGUUGGAGUUUUGGUAAAAGUUCUUUGGAAUAGGACAUCAUAGAAGGGUGAGAAUCCCGUAUUUGACCAUUUCUUCCAGCUGUGUGAUACACUUUCAAAGAGUCGGAUUGUUUGGGAAUGCAGUCCAAAAUGGGUGGUAAAUUUCAUCUAAAGCUAAAUAUUGGCGAGAGACCGAUAGCGAACAAGUACCGUGAGGGAAAGAUGAAAAGAACUUUGAAAAGAGAGUUAAACAGUACGUGAAAUUGUCAAAAGGGAAGCGUUUGACACCAGUGUUGUUUUCUCGAAAAUCAAUUAAAAAAGAUUGGAUUUUGUGUUGUAUUGACUUUAUCAGCUUUCUGCACCCUUUUCUUGUCUUUUUUAAUGCACUUUUCGUUUAACAAGUCAACAUCAAUUUCUUUUGUUGUAAAAGGGUCAUUGGAAGGUGGCUUUCUUUUCGGAGAAAGUGUUUAUAGCCUUUGACUUCUGCAAUCGGAGAGAUUGAGGUCUGCAGCGUAGAUCCUUCGGGGUUAGAUACAUUUGUGCUAAGCUAUAGCCUUUCAUAGACAACUUGUUGACUAUGAUCAGUCAUGUAGCUUACUCGCUUAUGCUAUUUUACCUACGCUUAGGAUGUUGACGAUCAGCUGAGCGCG
Molecule: ribosomal RNA, 775 nt
Filed under: uncultured Neocallimastigales
Lineage: Eukaryota; Fungi; Neocallimastigomycota; Neocallimastigomycetes; Neocallimastigales
Description: partial large subunit ribosomal RNA
Rfam family: Eukaryotic large subunit ribosomal RNA
Source: RNAcentral